ACUCUGCCUUGAUGAAGGUCUACCUGACCGAAAGCUUGCUUAAAUAAAGCCCUUCUUUUUUGCUACAGACCAGAAGUGUGCGGAUUGUUUCUCUUUUUUGACUUUAAAGUUUUUGCAAAUCCUGCACCUUCUCUCCAGAUUGAGCGGUGACCCUUCACUAUUUUACUAAUUCAGUUUUUAUAAAUACGAUGAAUUCUAUAUCAUUGAGGAGCAAUGCAUUUAAUCAUUUAAUCGCCACUUUUUAGCUGAUGGCCUGUUACCAAUGUUCCAUGACAGUACGAGAGGUGCAUGAUCGGAUAAUGUAAUUGGGAGGAUCUUUAUGUCAACUACUCUAUAAGAUUCUGCCUUGGGAGUAAAAAAAAAAGGUCUAUUCUGGAGAAUGAAGAAUGCCUAUGCGAGAAAAAGGUAAAGUUUUUGCCUUUAGGGUGUUUGUUUCUCCAAAUGUCCACCAAACCAGAUUCUGUCGAUAAGUACUUAAGCGUAUUGCUCAUUCUAGAAGUGUAGCUGCUAGACACAGGUUGUCUAUCCAAAUGUGGGGACGUGACGCAAUUAAAAUCUCCUCCCAACAGUAAAAUGCCAGAACUAUGCUGUAAUAGUAUGGAAAAGAUUGUGCGGAUGAAGCUCGGCUCAUCCUCAUUUGGAGCAUAUAUUGUGGUGAGACGCCUCCUCCUCUUGUUUUAUUAUUGGCUGGACUUCCUGUGUUUCUUUGUUUGCCUGGUUUGACUUGACUCUUUUCCAGAGCUCCCGCCCCUCCCCCGGUCGCUGAGGCUGAGUGAGACUACACACCUGCUCUACAUCUACAAUCAAGGCACUUUAAGAAGCCAGCAGCCCUCAGUCUCAGCGCCUGAGUAUUUUCUUCACUCCCAAGUGGUACAGACGUGUCUCCUGGCCUUCCUCAGAUAAUUACUUGCGACUUUUUACCCCCGUGAGCCCUUGUAUGUCUUCUCAUCUCCUUCUACUCUGUUUUCUCUGCAGUGUCUCCAGCCCACACAACAGCCAGCCAGCAAACCAGACUUUUUCCUUGUGCUUUGUUUCCCUGAGUUGGACAUUAAACACCUUUAAUUUGC
Non-coding RNA from Xyrichtys novacula (pearly razorfish), 1067 nucleotides. The record is from the annotation of a GenBank genome assembly. Lineage: Eukaryota; Metazoa; Chordata; Actinopteri; Labriformes; Labridae.